RNAcentral lists this long non-coding RNA (387 nucleotides) under Oryctolagus cuniculus (rabbit). RNAcentral describes it as "lncRNA (ENSOCUG00000032520.1)". The record is from RNAcentral. Lineage: Eukaryota; Metazoa; Chordata; Mammalia; Lagomorpha; Leporidae.
UCUGUGUGUCCGUGUCCUUGUCCCCGAGGUCCCCUCUCUUACCGUGUCCUCAUCCCCUGAGGUCCCCUGUGUGACCGUGUCCUCGUCCCCGAGGUCCCCUCUGUGUGACUGUGUCCUCGUCCCCUGAGGUCCCCUCUGUGUGACCAUGUCCUCUUCCCUGAGGUCCCCUCUGUGUCCGUGUCCUCAUCCCCGAGGUCCCCUCUGUGUGACCGUGUCCUCUUCCCUGAGGUCCCCUCUGUGUCCGUGUCCUUGUCCCCGAGGUCCCCUCUGUGUCCGUGUCCUUGUCCCCGAGGUCCCCUCUGUGUGACCGUGUCCUCUUCCCCGAGGUCCCCUCUGUGUGACCGUGUCCUCUUCCCUGAGGUCCCCUCUGUGUGACCGUGUCCUCUU